Aplosporella prunicola CBS 121167 is the source of this 132-nucleotide non-coding RNA. The record is from the annotation of a RefSeq genome assembly. Lineage: Eukaryota; Fungi; Ascomycota; Dothideomycetes; Botryosphaeriales; Aplosporellaceae.
GGCGCGGUGGCCUAAUGGUAAGGGUAAGUCAAUAUCAAUAAUAUCUAUUCAACAACCAAUCAGUAUACUAAUCUGGUGUUUAGCGCUACUUUCCGGUGGUAGAGACUGUGGGUUCGAGUCCCAUCCGCGUCG